Molecule: ribosomal RNA, 816 nt
Filed under: Lecidea turgidula
Lineage: Eukaryota; Fungi; Ascomycota; Lecanoromycetes; Lecideales; Lecideaceae
Description: eukaryotic LSU rRNA
Rfam family: Eukaryotic large subunit ribosomal RNA
Source: RNAcentral
ACGGCGAGUGAAGCGGCAACAGCUCAAAUUUGAAAUCUGGCCUCCUUCGGGGUCCGAGUUGUAAUUUGUAGAGGAUGUUUCGGGUGCGGCGCCGGUCUAAGUCCCUUGGAACAGGGCGUCAUAGAGGGUGAGAAUCCCGUAUGUGACUGGCGACCAACCCCAUGUGAAACCCCUUCGACGAGUCGAGUUGUUUGGGAAUGCAGCUCAAAAUGGGUGGUAAAUUUCAUCUAAAGCUAAAUACCGGCCAGAGACCGAUAGCGCACAAGUAGAGUGAUCGAAAGAUGAAAAGCACUUUGGAAAGAGAGUCAAAAAGUACGUGAAAUUGUUGAAAGGGAAGCGCUUGCAACCAGACCUGUCCGUUGGCGAUCAACCUCUGUUCUCAGUGGUGCACUCGUCUUCGAUCAGGCCAGCAUCGGUUUGGGCGGCUGGAUAAAGGCCUUGGGAAUGUAGCUUCCUCCGGGAAGUGUUAUAGCCCUCGGUGCAAUGCAGCCAGCCCGGACCGAGGACCGCGCUUCGGCUAGGAUGCUGGCAUAAUGGUUGUAAGCGACCCGUCUUGAAACACGGACCAAGGAGUCUAACAUCUAUGCAAGUGUUUGGGUGUCAAACCCAUGCGCGUAAUGAAAGUGAACGGAGGUGAGAACCCUUAAGGGCGCAUCAUCGACCGAUCCAGAUGUCUUCGGAUGGAUUUGAGUACGAGCAUAGCUGUUGGGACCCGAAAGAUGGUGAACUAUGCCUGAAUAGGGUGAAGCCAGAGGAAACUCUGGUGGAGGCUCGCAGCGGUUCUGACGUGCAAAUCGAUCGUCAAAUUUGGGUAUA